This 210-nucleotide unclassified non-coding RNA is filed under the name soil metagenome. RNAcentral's name for it is "partial contains 5.8S ribosomal RNA, internal transcribed spacer 2, and large subunit ribosomal RNA". The record is from RNAcentral.
AACCUUAUGGACCUGCGGGCGUAUACCUGCGGAAGGAUCAUUACCGAGUUUACAACUCCCAAACCCCUGUGAACAUACCAAUUGUUGCCUCGGCGGAUCAGCCCGCUCCCGGUAAAACGGGACGGCCCGCCAGAGGACCCCUAAACUCUGUUUCUAUAUGUAACUUCUGAGUAAAACCAUAAAUAAAUCAAAACUUUUAACAACGGAUCU